GGGAAUGUAGCUUAGUGAUAGGGCACUUGCCUAGUAUGCAAGAGACCCUGAGUUCUGUUCCCA
This 63-nucleotide transfer RNA is filed under the name Marmota monax (woodchuck). It matches the Rfam family "tRNA", at positions 1 to 62 of the family's 71-position model. Rfam says of the family: Transfer RNA (tRNA) molecules are approximately 80 nucleotides in length. Lineage: Eukaryota; Metazoa; Chordata; Mammalia; Rodentia; Sciuridae. The record is from Rfam by way of RNAcentral. RNAcentral also lists the same sequence under 1 other name.